RNAcentral lists this ribosomal RNA (978 nucleotides) under Triticum aestivum (bread wheat). RNAcentral describes it as "partial small subunit ribosomal RNA". Lineage: Eukaryota; Viridiplantae; Streptophyta; Magnoliopsida; Poales; Poaceae. The record is from RNAcentral.
AUGAAGCAGACCGUGGUCCUGUACCCCGGUGCCGGCGGCGGUCACGUUCGCCCCAUGACAGAGCUCGCCAACGUCUUUCUCAAGCACGGCUACGACGUCACCAUGGUGCUCGUCGAGGAGCCCCUUAAGUUGUCAGACUCCGGCACCACCGUCAUAGAGCGCAUCGCUGCCUCUAACCCGUCCAUCUCCUUCCAUGUCCUCCCGUCCAUCCAUGCUCAAGACUUUGCCGCCUCCGGCAAGCACCCUUUCUUACUCAUGCUCGAGCUCUUGCACUAUUACAACGAGCAGUUCGAAGCAUUCCUCCGCGCCAUCGACCGGAAAAGCUUGCACUCUAUUGUCCUCGACAUGUUCUGCAUUGAUGCCACCGACGUUUGCAUGAAUCUCGGCGUUCCGGUGUACACGUUCUUCGCAGGGAGCGCCUCGUGCCUGUCAGCCCUAACCCAACUCCCGACACUGAUUGCCGGCAGGCAGACGGGCUUGAAGGAACUUGGGGACACGCCGCUCAAUUUCGUCGGCAUUCCGCCGAUGCCAGCGUCUCAUCUCAUCAAGGAACUGCUGGAGCACCCCGAAGAUGAGAUGUGCAAGGCCAUGAUGAACAUCUGGAAGCGCAAUACGGAGACCAUGGGCGUUCUCCUGAACACGUUCGAGUCGUUGGAGAGUCGGGCGGUGCAGUCUCUGAGGGGCCCGCUCUGCGUCCCCGAAAGGAUCCUGCCUCCGAUCUACUGCGUCGGUCCGUCAGUCGGCAAGGGCGCCAAGGAUGAGGAAAAAGUAGAGAGGAACGAAUGCCUCAAGUGGCUCGACGUGCAGCCCGACCGCAGUGUCGUGUUCUUCUGUUUGGGGAGUAAGGGCACGCUCUGGACAGAGCAGCUGAAGGAGAUAGCCAUUGGCUUUGAGAGGUCAGGGCAGCGGUUCCUAUGGUCCGUGCGCAUGCCUGCGGGAAGCGACAGCCCAGAAAAAAUACUUGGAAGGGCGCCCUGA